GAUUUAUGUCAACAAGCAUGACGCUGGAACAAUCAAGACCAAGAACGAGGUGCCCGGGCAGUCUAUAGUCGAGUUGGAUGAUUUGAGCACUGUGGUGGGAAGCUUGAAACUGGAGUUCACACAACACACCGGGUCGCACUCCGAGAAGCCAGUGCAUUCGUAUCAACCGAGCUCCGGCUGAGGACGUUCUUCUUUCCCUUCCAUCACCACGCUCGUCUCUCCAUUGCCAGACAACAAAGAUAACACUUUUAGCCAUCCAAGUAGUAGAAA
Molecule: long non-coding RNA, 270 nt
Organism: Selaginella moellendorffii
Lineage: Eukaryota; Viridiplantae; Streptophyta; Lycopodiopsida; Selaginellales; Selaginellaceae
Exons: 3
Source: RefSeq, a predicted model, not a curated record